RNAcentral lists this long non-coding RNA (351 nucleotides) under Struthio camelus australis. RNAcentral describes it as "lncRNA (ENSSCUG00000004328.1)". The record is from RNAcentral. Lineage: Eukaryota; Metazoa; Chordata; Aves; Struthioniformes; Struthionidae.
AUUUGAAUCUGACAGGCAACUGGAAGUUUAUUUUUCAUCUUGUGACCAAUGCUCAACAGGGUGCUGUGUGAGUACCAAGGGGAGGUAAUUCUGAUCUGAGAGAACUACCUUUUGGUCCCACUGAGUCUGUUAUGGAAAAAAUUCAAUAUCCUUUCCUCUAUCUGGAGUCCACAUCCAGAAUACUUGCCAAAAACUCAAAGAACAGCAAAAAGAAGAGGCAUUGGUGAUUGGUCAGGAUUAAAAAAAAAGAAUUUUGGACAAAGCUGUGGUGUCAUCGACGAUGGCUAUUCUUAUGUUGAAGAACUUCUCCAAAUGCUGAAAAUUUAUGCGAAGAAAAAAGAUCUGAAGUAA